Molecule: non-coding RNA, 24 nt
Filed under: Cricetulus griseus (Chinese hamster)
Lineage: Eukaryota; Metazoa; Chordata; Mammalia; Rodentia; Cricetidae
Source: RNAcentral
AUGGUGUAGAUUAUCAACAGGAUU